CCUACGGGAGGCAGCAGUGGGGAAUCUUGCGCAAUGGGGGAAACCUUGACGCAGCAACGCCGCGUGGGUGAUGAAGGCCUUCGGGUCGUAAAGCCCUGUCAGGUGGGAAGAAACAUGUCGGUGCUAAUAUCACCGAUGUUUGACGGUACCGCCGGAGGAAGCACCGGCUAACUCCGUGCCAGCAGCCGCGGUAAUACGUAGGUGGCAAGCGUUGUCCGGAAUUAUUGGGCGUAAAGCGCGCGCAGGCGGUUCUUUAAGUCUGAUGUGAAAGCCCCCGGCUCAACCGGGGAGGGUCAUUGGAAACUGGGGAACUUGAGUGCAGAAGAGGAGAGUGGAAUUCCCGGUGUAGAGGUGAAAUUCGUAGAUAUCGGGAGGAACACCAGUGGCGAAGGCGGCUCUCUGGUCCGAUACUGACGCUGAGACGCGAAAGCGUGGGGAGCAAACAGGAUUAGAUACCCUGGUAGUCCACGCUGUAAACGAUGGGCACUAGGUGUCGUGGGUAUUGACCCCCGCGGUGCCGCAGCUAACGCAUUAAGUGCCCCGCCUGGGGAGUACGACCGCAAG
This 564-nucleotide ribosomal RNA is filed under the name uncultured bacterium. Its description in RNAcentral is "bacterial SSU rRNA". It matches the Rfam family "Bacterial small subunit ribosomal RNA", at positions 338 to 892 of the family's 1533-position model. The record is from RNAcentral.